This 486-nucleotide ribosomal RNA is filed under the name uncultured bacterium. Its description in RNAcentral is "partial 16S ribosomal RNA". It matches the Rfam family "Bacterial small subunit ribosomal RNA", at positions 28 to 507 of the family's 1533-position model. The record is from RNAcentral.
GAUGAACGCUGGCGGCGUGCUUAACACAUGCAAGUCGAACGGGAUCCAGGGAGUGCUUGCACUUUUUGGUGAGAGUGGCGAACGUGUGAGUAACACGUGAGUAACCUGUCCUUUUCUUUGGGAUAAGCUCCUGAAAGGGUGUUUAAUACCUUAUGUUCUGUCUGCCUCGCAUGGGGUGGGUGGGAAAGAUUUGUUUCGGUAAGGGGUGGGCUCGCGGUCUAUCAGCUUGUUGGUGGGGUGAUGGCUUACCAAGGCUUUGACGGGUAGCCGGCCUGAGAGGGUGGUCGGUCACAUUGGGACUGAGAUACGGCCCAGACUCCUGCGGGAGGCAGCAGUGGGGGAUAUUGCACAAUGGGCGCAAGCCUGAUGCAGCGACGCCGCGUGGGGGAUGAAGGCCUUCGGGUUGUAAACUUCUUUUGCUCUGAACAAGGCGCAUCUUUGGGGUGUGUUGAGUGUAGGGGUUGAUUAGCGCCGGCUAACUACGUG